RNAcentral lists this ribosomal RNA (507 nucleotides) under uncultured bacterium. RNAcentral's name for it is "partial 16S ribosomal RNA". It matches the Rfam family "Bacterial small subunit ribosomal RNA", at positions 28 to 507 of the family's 1533-position model. The record is from RNAcentral.
GACGAACGCUGGCGGCGUGCCUAAUACAUGCAAGUCGAACGCAUUUUCUUUCACCGUAGCUUGCUACACCGAAAGAAAAUGAGUGGCGAACGGGUGAGUAACACGUGGGUAACCUGCCCAUCAGCGGGGGAUAACACUUGGAAACAGGUGCUAAUACCGCAUAAUUCCAUUUACCGCAUGGUAGAUGGGUGAAAGGCGCUUUUGCGUCACUGAUGGAUGGACCCGCGGUGCAUUAGCUAGUUGGUGGGGUAACGGCCUACCAAGGCUGCGAUGCAUAGCCGACCUGAGAGGGUGAUCGGCCACACUGGGACUGAGACACGGCCCAGACUCCUACGGGAGGCAGCAGUAGGGAAUCUUCGGCAAUGGACGCAAGUCUGACCGAGCAACGCCGCGUGAGUGAAGAAGGUUUUCGGAUCGUAAAACUCUGUUGUUAGAGAAGAACAAGGAUGAGAGUGGAAAGUUCAUCCCUUGACGGUAUCUGACCAGAAAGCCACGGCUAACUACGUG